CAAAGUCAAAGUACGCUCUAUAGAUCUCAGCCUUAAAUAUAAUUUAAACAUGAGCAACAAAUUGUCAACAUCGGUGAGUCUACACUAUGGAACAUUUUAUAUUAUUUGUAACAAGAAGUAUGUGAAUAAAAUGAACAUGUACUUCUAGGACAAUCAUAAAGAUAAUAUAAGUGUUAUAACACUAAAAUUGCCUAGCAAAGAAUGAAUAUAAUACACCAAAAGAAAAAAUCAGAUAAACAAAAAAGUAGGUUAAGAUGGUGGCCUUGUGGCUUAUUUAGAAUAGAAUGAAUGUUGAUAAUAUGUGUAAUAAUAUAACAUGUUACAUAGUCUGGACUCCAUAACGUUUUGUAUCUUAUUUAACAUUAGGACUACGCACACAUUCAACCAACCAUCUUCUAAACUUUGCCAUUCGCUCAAAGAUGAAUUAUUACAAUCACGCCGUAAGUAGGUAACUUCAAAUGUAUAAGGGCGUUAAUCGUUUUAGUCCCGCAAGCGAAUGCGUUACUGUGCUACGCUAUAGCCAAUAUACAAUUAAAUUCAAAUACUCAUCUUAUUAUCAUCUCACCUUCCCCUUUUUGAAUUCGGUUAUAAUGUGGGAUAUCCCACUUUUGAAAUUAAAUGAAAGAUAGUUUAGUAAGAGAAGUGUGAAAUUAAUUAAAAAUAAUCUAGUAGAUAUGGAAAACAAUAAAAGUUCCGGUAUAAUAGUUUCAGUAUAUUAUUAUAAUAUCUACUUGUAAAGGCAAGUUAUCGCUAAAAGAUCACUAUGAAGUUGCGAAAUUCAAAGUUGACAAGUGGUUGAUCGAACGUGAGCAUAAUAUUAUCUUCAUUGGUAAAAAAUAAAUUAACUCUGUCCAACAUAAGUACAAAAUUAUCAAUAUCUCCAUCAUAGCAUCUAUUUUGUCAGACUUUAUUACUCCUUAACUUUGUCCGCAGAUGAACGAUUUUUUUCCGACGAAGUGCGAUGCGACACGAUUUGAAACGAAGCUGUAGGCAUAUAUUAAGUCCUUUGAAACAGGUCCAUAUUUUUAUUUUUAUUAGUUAUUUAGUAUUGAAUAAAAAAGUCAUUAAUUAAUUGAAUUUAGAAACUUGAAAAUAUCUUAAAGCGUCCAAAUCGCCUCGCUUCGCACAAGUUACAAGAUUUUAAAUCGUUCACGUGUAAAUGUAAUGUUAGUGUUGGGGUGUUGUUCAAAAUCGGUGGAAUAUGAAAGGUGUUUCCUUUAGCAUACCGAUGCAUUCGUAGGCAGUAUGCCUUUACGACUUAGGUUGAGAUCUAUAGCUUUAACUUAACUCUGACUUAAGACACUGUUAAAACGAGACAGCGUUAUAUCGCUGAUAUAAAUCUGUAUCUUUUUAACUGAUACUUAGGUCUGAGCAAAGUCAAAGUACGCUCUAUAGAUCUCAGCCUUAGACGCAAAGGCGUUAAUAAUUUCUCGACCGCGUGCAAAUGUGCCGGUGUGAUAAAGGCGUAAACAACAGUGAUGUGUGAUAAGAUAAAUGCACUAAUACUAACAACCUUUUGAACGUCUAGUGACUCGAAUGAAAACGAUCACAUAAUAUUGUAUUAACCGGUCUCUUCCGAUUAGUACGAAGCUACAAUCGAACGAAUAGAGCGAAGUGAAGGCGAGUACCGAGUGCCGCACUUGAAAUUCUUCCGAUGUGAUUCUUUUGUACGUUAAGUUUUAAUAAGUUCAUACCCAUAGUUUGUGCAAGACGCACACAUGUGGAAAAAUGUCAAGAACCGACAUCGCGAGUCUUAAAAUCCUACAAUAAUGUACAAAAGUCUCUGAACAAGAAUUGUCAAUGAUAUGAUUUUAAAAUCUAUCUGAACUUAGAAAAAAAUAAUUAUACAGCGCCGGUAGUAGUAAAAUUUGUAUCGUAUAAAACUCCAGGUCGACCACGAAUUAACCCUAAAAGUAAUAAUUCAAUAUACCCUUUUUUCAUGAUUUGGCUCAAAACGUAUCAAACCCCGAAGACGUUACAGAGAGACGUAUCACAAUCGCGCUAGUAACAUUAAAUUAAAUACAACAGCACCUAUAGUUUGAUAUACAUAAUAAUAAUAAUAUAAUAUAAUGAAUAAAAAAUCAUAUUAUAUAAUUCGAAUGGAGAGGACAAAUUAAGCGUAGUAACAACUAUGCAAAUGGUCCAUUUAAUUUGUAGUAAGUAAUAUAAAAGUUUUUAGUAAAUAUCACUAAUUACUCCGCCGAGACAACUAACGCUUCACAACGAGGGCACGAGGCGAGAGGCCGGCUCCAAACGACCAUGCACUCUUUGCUCGGGGGCAAAAAUACGGGCAACAUCAUCAAAGACAAAUUUCUUAAGAAAUAAUGAAUCUAAACCUUGAACAAUUUAAUUUUAUCAAUAUCUCUGCCCAUAUUAUAAAUGUGAAAGUGUGUUUGUGUAAUUGGUUUGUCCUUCAAUCACGUCGCAACCGAAGCAACGGAUCAACGUGUUUUUUUGCAUGGCUAUAGACCUGGGACGUGACAAGGCUACUUUUUACCUCGGAAAAUCGGAGUCUCCACGGGAUUUAAAAAAAAUUCAAUCCACGCGCAAAAAGUCGCAGGCAUCAGCUUGUAAAUAAUAAAUUAAAAUAUAAUAAACAAUCUGAGUUAAAGAGAACCCAAAAAAGCAUGCCCUAAGCAAAAAGUGCAUCAACCUCCGCCUAUGACUAGUUAUAAAAAACAUAGCUUCCGACCAAAACCAUCCUACGUCACCGAUAGACUAAGACCGAUAUUCCUGACAAGAUUCCAAAGAACCAUAGACACUUUCCUAAUAGCUUAACCUUGCAAAAUUCUAAAAGAAACGACCAGGUUCCUGAUUUUCUAUCAUAUCACUUUGACGUCUUUGACAAUGCAAGGGUUAGCAAGUCUGAUAUUCCUUUUUCAAUGCCAAUUUCAGUGGUUUCAACGCAAUGCAUACAUGUUGCGUACCCUAAAAGCCGUGUUAGUAUUACAUCUUGCAGUGUGUAUUUACGCACCAAAGAACUGGCACACUAUAUUUCUAUAGUAUUCGACUUCUGUGAUUAUACACAACAAGGAAACACUACUUUUAGAGCAUAAUAAAGCAAUUUGUGAUGGACUUGACAAUUAUUCUGGUAUUGCCAAAGACGUCAAAAAAAUUGAAUGAGACAGCAAAUAAGCUCCCUGGGCGUUCAUGUUUCCGUUUCACUCAACUAUCAUGUACGGACGCCAUUCGACCAAUCAGAGAUGAUCGCUAGACAUGCGACGCAGUGCACGCCCACAGUUACAACACUCACACAUACAUUUGUACUACGCCAGUAUGCUACCCGCUACACUAACGAAGGGGGCUCGCUGUCGACCAACUCUCGAAAAAAAAAUUUAACAGCUAAUAACAACUAAUAUAAAAUGCAUCUUACGUCGCCACAAAUUUUUGGAACCGACCACUUUAACGACGACAGAGCUUUCAAUGCAAGUUCUUGAGUAAACUAACUCGGAACUAAAGUUGGCAUUACUCUGUUAAGUUACCUAUAGAAGUUCAUACAGAUUAAGGCCAACUAAAGCGGCAACUGUUUUCGCUCGAAAACUUUCACUAAAGGCUCAGAAUACUGAA
Molecule: long non-coding RNA, 3567 nt
Organism: Maniola jurtina (meadow brown)
Lineage: Eukaryota; Metazoa; Arthropoda; Insecta; Lepidoptera; Nymphalidae
Exons: 2
Source: RefSeq, a predicted model, not a curated record